GACGAACGCUGGCGGCGUGCUUAACACAUGCAAGUCGAACGGAAAGGCCCUGCUUUUGUGGGGUGCUCGAGUGGCGAACGGGUGAGUAACACGUGAGUAACCUGCCCUUGACUUUGGGAUAACUUCAGGAAACUGGGGCUAAUACCGGAUAGGAGCUCCUGCUGCAUGGUGGGGGUUGGAAAGUUUCGGCGGUUGGGGAUGGACUCGCGGCUUAUCAGCUUGUUGGUGGGGUAGUGGCUUACCAAGGCUUUGACGGGUAGCCGGCCCGAGAGGGUGACCGGCCACAUUGGGACUGAGAUACGGCCCAGACUCCUACGGGAGGCAGCAGUGGGUAAUAUUGCACUAUGGGCGGAAGCCUGAUGCAGCAACGCCGCGUGCGGGAUGACGGCCUUCGGGUUGUAAUCCGCUUUCGCCUGUGACGAAGCGUGAGUGACGGUAAUGGGUAAAUAAGCACCGGCUAACUACGUG
This 468-nucleotide ribosomal RNA is filed under the name uncultured bacterium. RNAcentral describes it as "partial 16S ribosomal RNA". It matches the Rfam family "Bacterial small subunit ribosomal RNA", at positions 28 to 507 of the family's 1533-position model. The record is from RNAcentral.